Molecule: long non-coding RNA, 1834 nt
Filed under: Mus musculus (house mouse)
Lineage: Eukaryota; Metazoa; Chordata; Mammalia; Rodentia; Muridae
Description: long non-coding RNA chr8:70139712-70141546
Source: RNAcentral
GGGCUCUGCUGGCUGCCUUCACUAUGGAAGAACCUGAGAUGCAGCUGAAGGGAAAGAAAGGUGUUGCGGGACCCUAGAGGGGUUGGAGGGGCCUAGAGAGGGCAACGCGGGAAGGUACAUGACAAAGAGCCGCCGUAGACCUCCCGGCCUGCGGGGUUCGAUGGAAAAGGGAGGCCGGUGUCUCCCGCCGGGAGGUGUUGUGAUGUAUAAUGAUCCCGGGCAGGAAAAGGCUCUUUUCUACUUCUGAGAUAAGGUCCCGGGAUGUAACCCUGGCUAUAUUGGAACUCGCUGUGUAGACCGGGAUGGUCUCAAACCUCUCUGCCUUCUGAGAGUUGGAAUUAAAAGCAGAAUCCAUCCAGGUCCCUGCUCAGUGUAAUGUGGUUUUUAGCCUGUGAAUACGUAAAGGAGUAUGUGGGCUUGGUGGCGCAAUACUCUAAUCCUCUCUUCUCAAGAGACAAGAAAUUGAAGGCCAGUUUGGUCUGCACAUUGAAACUCAAAUCUCGAGAGAAGAGCUGGGGCUUUAGCUCAGUCGUAAACACUUUGACCAGCGCAUUCAAAGCUCUGGGUUUGAUCCCCGACACUGCAAAAUAUAUUAAGGACCAGAUAAGUAGAUUAUUUUCUUUAGCUGAUGGGAGCCCUGCGUGGUAAGAGGAGUUGGUGUCAUCUGCCACCAUUAGCCUGGUCAGAGCUUGUCUGAUACAGGAAGGAGUGGGGGAUGAAGGGGACUGAAGUUGGAAGCAACAGGAUCCUUGAUGGAUGGAGCAGGAAGAAUAGAGAUUUCCUGACUGGGAAAGCUGUUGGUCAAAGUCUACCCUGGGAUGAUGGUUUUGGUGCAGUUGACUUGUGGUAGGAACAUGAGUUCUGGAGUAAAGGAAACAGGCUUAACAGGAACUUGAAUGGAUUCUGCAGAGGGCAGCCUUAGCAGGCAUGUUUCUGGAACAGGGCCUGUGAUAUACCUCAGAGCUGUUCCCACACAGCAAGGGACGUGGCCUUCCACAUCAUUCCUGCCACAGAGUAGAGGCCUCACGAGAUUGUGGACUUUAGGCACCUUUGAGUUCUGUGUUCAUCCUCUGGGCAGCUGGAUAUGGUGGUACAUGCUUCUCUUCCCUUGGGAGCACUUGGGAGGCAAAGGCAGGCAGAGGAAUUGCUGUGAGUUAAGGACAGCUUAGUCAACACAGUGAGUUACAGGGAAUCCAGAGCUACUAGAUUCUAGUAUGAUGUUCCAUACUGCUCUCCAGUAUGCUCCAGUUAUAAAGGGGGAGGGAAGCUGUCAGUGGCUUUAGUACCAUCCACCAAUGUCCUCUGAAAGUGGGUCUGGGGAGAGAAGAUUGUGAGUUCAUGUGUUUGCUGAUGCCCCCUUGAGUUAGGCCUUGCUGUCUAGAGACCAUCCCUGGACCUGCAGAUGACAGUUAAAGUGGUGCACCCUGGCGGCUCCUCUCUAACUCCUGUUGGGCUCAGAGAUUGAACAAUCAGGAGUGUAAUGUGGGUGGGCCUUAGCUGGCAGAGUGUUGCCUGGCAUGCAUGAAACCCUGGGUUAUAUGUCCAGCACUGAAUAAACUAGGUAUGGUGUCACACAUCUGCAGUCCCAGCACUCAGGAGAUGGAGGCAGGAAGAUUAGGAGUUCAAAGUCAUUCUUGCUUACAGAAAACUAAAGUCUAGGGGGCUGGUGAGAUGGCUCAGUGGGUAAGAGCACCCGACUGCUCUUCCGAAGGUCCGGAGUUCAAAUCCCAGCAACCACAUGGUGGCUCACAACCAUCUGUAAUGAGAUCUGACUCCCUCUUCUGGAGUGUCUGAAGACAGCUACAGUGUACUUACAUAUAAUAAAUAAAUCUUU